UACGGAGGGAGCUAGCGUUGUUCGGAAUUACUGGGCGUAAAGCGCGCGUAGGCGGCUUUGUAAGUUAGAGGUGAAAGCCCGGGGCUCAACUCCGGAAUUGCCUUUAAGACUGCAUCGCUAGAAUCCGGGAGAGGUGAGUGGAAUUCCGAGUGUAGAGGUGAAAUUCGUAGAUAUUCGGAAGAACACCAGUGGCGAAGGCGGCUCACUGGCCCGGUACUGACGCUCAUGUGCGAAAGCGUGGGGAGCAAACAGG
This 253-nucleotide ribosomal RNA is filed under the name uncultured bacterium. Its description in RNAcentral is "partial 16S ribosomal RNA". It matches the Rfam family "Bacterial small subunit ribosomal RNA", at positions 524 to 776 of the family's 1533-position model. The record is from RNAcentral.